UCUCUUGGGGGUGGGCUCUACUGAAUUUGAGACCCACUGCAAAUGAGGAGGCCACACAGGAAGGACCUUGGGGGUCCCUGGAAACUAGAAAUCAACUUCCUUUACAUUGUAAAGUCUCUGGUUUAUUGCAGACCAGCUCUCCCCCAGGCUGAGAGCCAGAUACUGGGAGCUUGUGGUAGGGGUGGUGUGAGAGAAAUGUUCCCCAUGGCCGCCUGUUCUCCUCCUGCCCAGCCCCCACCGGCACACACACAGGUGCAUACACACAUCCACAUGCACACACUACUCUCUCAGGAGGUCUGCUGGGAAACCAACAGACUUUCAGAAAAGCCUGUUCCAACCCUGGCUUCAUGGGGCAUGGUGAGCUCCUGAUCUUCUCUCACGGGCCCUUGUUGGGGAGGAAAGAUUUCUCUCCCUCACCCAUCACCAGGUUUAUGGCUGAGGCACCCAUAGUAAAAGACAGAUUAACAAGAAAAAAGCAUACACAUUUCUUUAAUAUCUAGGUUUGACAUGACACGGGAGCCUUCAGAAAUGAAGACCUCAAGAAACAGGAAAACCUGUGUGUUUUUAUGCUUAGGUUUGAUAAAGAGUGAACAGUCGUGCAGACGUGGACAAAGCAGAGUUCAGAGUGGGAGCACCUACCUGGGUCUCAGUAACACUGAGGGCCUCUCCGGGUGAAUCUCUGCGUUGUUAUGCAGACCAAGUCUCUACGUUGGCAAAUACUUCACCCACUCCAGGGAGAAAGGAAAGAAGGAGAUUUCUGGGCACCAUGUGCAGUAACCAAAGCAGAGCAUUCAUCCUGUGAAUCUGAACAGCAUUAAUGAAGAAUGUAGGUCUCCUAUUCCAACUGGGACUCAGAGCGGAACAAUGGCAUAGCUUGCGUAUUUAUUUAGGCCGUGGCAUCUCAGCAAUGAAAAAGUUCGUGGAAUAAAUGAGCAAAAGAUGGAGAACUUUUCUGCUCUGUGUUUAUAGGUUUCGGCUGUUCCCAAAUCAUCCAUCUUGAGAUCUCACCGUAAAGCAGACAAGCAGCCCUUUGACAGGCGCAUCUUGAAAGUUUUACACUAUUUAUU
Cercocebus atys (sooty mangabey) is the source of this 1067-nucleotide long non-coding RNA. RefSeq lists it as uncharacterized. Lineage: Eukaryota; Metazoa; Chordata; Mammalia; Primates; Cercopithecidae. The record is from RefSeq and is a predicted model, not a curated record. The transcript has 3 exons.